AUGCCGAGGGAAAAGGGCAUGGCCCUUUGGGGUUUCUUCGACGGCAACGACGCCGGCGGCGGACCUGCGCCCGACAUGAACGGGUUCCCCUGCUACCCCGCCGCCGGCCCGGGCGCCCUCGCCUCCUCCUCCCUCUCGCCGCCUUCCUCCCUUGCCCCGGCCGCCGGCGUCGUGAAGGCGGAGGACGGCAGCCGGCCGAUGACACGCCACCUCCACGCCGUCUCCGGAGGCGAUGCCGGCGGCGGCGAGGACGACGAGGUCGCGCCAGAGCCUGGCCGCCACGGCAAGCGCAAGAGGCCCCCCAACGCGCGCCACACCCCUCGGCAGAUCCAGGAGCUCCAAGCGUUGUUCGAGCAAUGCCCCCACCCAGACGAGAAGCAGCGGGCGGCGCUGGGCAAGAGGGUCCGCCUCCAGCCGAGUCAGGUCAAGUUCUGGUUCCAGAACCGCCGCACGCAGUUGAAGAGGGAAUCUCUGAUGCACGAGAACCAGCUGUUGAUGGCGGAGAACGGCAAACUGCGCGCCGAGAACCUGUCCCUCCGGGUGGAGAUGGCGCAUCCAGUGUGUGGCGGCUGUGGCGGCCCGGUCCCGGCGAUGCUCGACGAGUCGCCGUCCCUGGAGGAGGACCUGCGCGUCCAGAACGCCACGCUCAAGAACGAGCUCAGCCGGCUCUGCGCUCUCGCUUCCGCGUUCCUUGGCAGGUCCAUUUCCUUCGUGGCGGCGCCACCAACGCCAGGCUCGCCAGUGGAGCGCAUUGGCUCAAUGCCGUCGGCCACCGUGGCCAACUCGACGGUCACCGAGUUCACGGGCAGCCCCUCCAGCCAAACAGUGGGAAUGGCGAUCACGCCCAUGGCGAAGGCUGGCAUCGACAGGUCCGUGUUCUUGGAGCUUGCGACGAGUGCAAUGGAUGAGCUUGUCAAGAUGGCGCAGAUGGACGAGCCGUUGUGGAUUCCAAAUGUACCCUUGCCUGGUUCCCUUGCCAAGGAGACGCUCAACCAUGAAGUGUACUUGAGGACCUUCUCACCAGCCAUAGGGGUCAAGCCCCCGGGGUUUGUAUCCGAGGCCUCUAGGGAGUCCGGCAUUGUAAGCAGUGACGGCAGCGUCGAGCUUGUGGAGACUCUGUUGGAUGAGAGACGGUGGUCCCGUUUUUUCUCGUGCAUAAUCGCCGAAUCGUCGACGACCGAGGAGAUCUCUACUGGAGCUGCAGGGAAUAGAGAUGGUGCAUUGCUGCUUAUGCAGGCAAAGCUGCAGGUUCUUUCACCUCUUGUCCCUGUUAGGGAGGUGGCAUUUCUCAGGUUCUGCAAACAGUUGGGUGAGGGUUUAUGGGCUGUAGUGGAUGUUUCCAUGGAUGGGUUGGGAAUGGAGCAAGGCCUAGCCGUGGCAUCCACCACUGCAAAUAUGAAGUGCCGGAGGCUGCCUUCUGGCUGUGUGGUGCAAGAUACCCCCAGUGGCUUCUGCAAGGUUACAUGGGUUGAACAUACAGUAUACGAUGAAUCCUCCGUGCACCAGCUCUACCGGCCUCUCCUUCGGUCUGGCCUUGCCCUUGGUGCAGGGCGGUGGCUUGCGACACUACAGCGCCAGUAUGACUGCUUGGAUGUUCUCAUGCCGAAGCAAGACUCGUCAGAUGCCAUGUUGGAAGGAUCACGGAGCUUGCUGAGGUUGGCAGAGAGGAUGAUGGACAACUUCUGUGCGGGGGUGAGCGCAUCUUCUGCUGAAUGGAGCAAACUGGAUGACGUCACGGGGAGCAUUGGGGAGGAUGUGCGUAUCAUGGCACGUAGGAGUGUGGAUGAACCUGGGGUGCCAGCUGGUGUGGUGCUGUGUGCUGCCACAUCGGUGUGGAUGCUUGUAACACCCAAACGGCUUUUCAACUUCCUGUGCAAUGAGAAAACCCGAGCUGAAUGGGACAUCCUAAGCAAGGGUGGCCCUAUGCAGGAGGUGACAAAAAUCUACAAGGGGCAACAGAAUGGCAAUGCCGUAUCUCUACUGAAGGCCACUGCCCCAAACACCCACCAGGACAGCAGCAUUCUGAUCCUACAGGAGACGUGCACAGAUGCAUCCGGCUCAAUGGUGGUGUACACCCCAGUGGACAUCCCAGCAAUGCGCCGUGUCAUGGGCGGAGAAGGCGACCCGGCAUCGAUCAUGCUCCUGCCAUCCGGUUUCGCCAUUCUGCCCGGCGGUCCAAGCAUGUCUGGCGACGACGGUCACAAGACAUGUGGCUCGCUGCUCACCGUGGCGUUCCAGAUACUCGGGAACAGGCAGCCCACCGGGAAGCUCACCGUGGAGUCGGUGCAGACCGUGGACAGCCUCAUCUCCUGCACCAUCAACAGGAUCAAGACGGCGCUGCGCUGCGACGCCUGA
This 2355-nucleotide ribosomal RNA is filed under the name Triticum aestivum (bread wheat). RNAcentral's name for it is "partial small subunit ribosomal RNA". Lineage: Eukaryota; Viridiplantae; Streptophyta; Magnoliopsida; Poales; Poaceae. The record is from RNAcentral.